AUCCCUGUAGCGUAAUGAAUCAUGCGUUGGACUGCUAAUUUAAAGGUUGUGUGUUCGAGUUCCACCUGGGAUG
Non-coding RNA from Trichonephila clavipes, 73 nucleotides. The record is from the annotation of a GenBank genome assembly. NCBI's taxonomy places the organism in Eukaryota, Metazoa, Arthropoda, Arachnida, Araneae, Nephilidae.